GGAUGUAAGGGCAAUUUGGCUGCGACAUCUGUCACUCAUUGAUUUCCAGGAUUGAUUUGACUGAUCUGGCUAGCUAUAUGAGUGUUUCCCUUCCUCUUCUAGCUAGCUCCAUGUGUGUCCCUCUGGAAACUACACUUGAAAGAAGAAUGAUAUUCCCCAAUAGAGAAGGUCUGUUCUGACAAGUGUACACAAGUACUGUGCUCCUGUUACGGUUGAGAUCUGGUAUGUCCCCCCAAAGCUCAUGCUUUGAAAGUUUGUUCCUUU
Molecule: small nuclear RNA, 264 nt
Filed under: Urocitellus parryii (Arctic ground squirrel)
Lineage: Eukaryota; Metazoa; Chordata; Mammalia; Rodentia; Sciuridae
Description: 7SK RNA (ENSUPAG00010020843.1)
Rfam family: 7SK RNA
About the family: 7SK was discovered as an abundant small nuclear RNA in the mid-70s but a possible function has only recently been suggested.
Source: Rfam by way of RNAcentral